ACCAAAACACGCUAUAGAACCAACUCUCAGCCAAGCAGAGAGAGAGAGGUACACACCAAAACACGCUAUAGAACCAACUCUCAGCCAAGCAGAGAGAGAGAGGUACACACCAAAACACGCUAUAGAACCAACUCUCAGCCAAGCAGAGAGAGAGGUACACACCAAAACACGCUAUAGAACCAACUCUCAGCCAAGCAGAGAGAGAGGUACACACCAAAACACGCUAUAGAACCAACUCUCAGCCAAGCAGAGAGAGAGAUACACACCAAAACACGCUAUAGAACCAACUCUCAGCCAAGCAGAGAGAGAGGUACACACCAAAACACGCUAUAGAACCAACUCUCAGCCAAGCAGAGAGAGAGGUACACACCAAAACACGCUUAUAGAACCAACUCUCAGCCAAGCAGAGAGAGAGGUACACACCAAAACACGCUAUAGAACCAACUCUCAGCCAAGCAGAGAGAGAGGUACACACCAAAACACGCUAUAGAACCAACUCUCAGCCAAGCAGAGAGAGAGGUACACACCAAAACACGCUAUAGAACCAACUCUCAGCCAAGCAGAGAGAGAGGUACACACCAAAACACGCUAUAGAACCAACUCUCAGCCAAGCAGAGAGAGAGGUACACACCAAAACACGCUAUAGAACCAACUCUCAGCCAAGCAGAGAGAGAGAGGUACACACCAAAACACGCUAUAGAACCAACUCUCAGCCAAGCAGAGAGAGAGGUACACACCAAAACACGCUAUAGAACCAACUCUCAGCCAAGCAGAGAGACAGAGGUACACACCAAAACACGCUAUAGAACCAACUCUCAGCCAAGCAGAGAGAGAGAUACACACCAAAACACGCUAUAGAACCAACUCUCAGCCAAGCAGAGAGAGAGGUACACACCAAAACACGCUAUAGAACCAACUCUCAGCCAAGCAGAGAGAGAGAGGUACACACCAAAACACGCUAUAGAACCAACUCUCAG
This is a non-coding RNA of Salmo salar (Atlantic salmon), 977 nucleotides long. Lineage: Eukaryota; Metazoa; Chordata; Actinopteri; Salmoniformes; Salmonidae. The record is from RefSeq and is a predicted model, not a curated record.